RNAcentral lists this ribosomal RNA (314 nucleotides) under uncultured bacterium. RNAcentral describes it as "partial 16S ribosomal RNA". It matches the Rfam family "Bacterial small subunit ribosomal RNA", at positions 495 to 807 of the family's 1533-position model. The record is from RNAcentral.
GUAUAAGAGACAGCAGUAGCCGCGGUAAUACAGAGGGUGCGAGCGUUAAUCGGAUUUACUGGGCGUAAAGCGUGCGUAGGCGGCUUUUUAAGUCGGAUGUGAAAUCCCUGAGCUUAACUUAGGAAUUGCAUUCGAUACUGGGAAGCUAGAGUAUGGGAGAGGAUGGUAGAAUUCCAGGUGUAGCGGUGAAAUGCGUAGAGAUCUGGAGGAAUACCGAUGGCGAAGGCAGCCAUCUGGCCUAAUACUGACGCUGAGGUACGAAAGCAUGGGGAGCAAACAGGAUUAGAUACCCCUGUAGUCCCUGUCUCUUAUAC